AUACGUGGGUGACAAGCGUUAUCCGGAUUUACUGGGCGUAAAGGGCGUGUAGGCGGUCUUGCAAGUCAGAAGUGAAAUUCCUGAGCUCAACUCGGGCGCUGCUUCUGAAACUGCAGGACUUGAGUGCUGGAGGGGAUAGCGGAAUUCCUAGUGGAGCGGUAAAAUGCGCAGAUAUUAGGAAGAACACCGGUGGCGAAGGCGGCUAUCUGGACAGUAACGGACGCUGAGGCGCGAAAGCGUGGGGAGCAAACAGGAUUAGAUACCCGGGUACUCCACGCCGUAAACGAUGAAUACUAGGUGUAGGGGGUAUCGACUCCCUCUGUGCCGCAGUUAACACAAUAAGUAUUCCGCCUGGGGAGUACGGCCGCAAGGUUGAAACUCAAAUGAAUUGACGGGG
This 397-nucleotide ribosomal RNA is filed under the name uncultured bacterium. Its description in RNAcentral is "partial 16S ribosomal RNA". It matches the Rfam family "Bacterial small subunit ribosomal RNA", at positions 523 to 918 of the family's 1533-position model. The record is from RNAcentral.